This 4541-nucleotide long non-coding RNA is filed under the name Fukomys damarensis (Damara mole-rat). RNAcentral describes it as "lncRNA (ENSFDAG00000030043.1)". The record is from RNAcentral. Lineage: Eukaryota; Metazoa; Chordata; Mammalia; Rodentia; Bathyergidae.
GUUAAAUAUUUAGGGACAGGGAAACGUUCCCGCCACAGUGUUCUUUUUCCUCAUACAUUUCUACAUGACUUCAAGACUUUGGAUGCCUGCACGUGUCCAGGUUGAACGUUCAGGUGACCAGGUUGAAAACAGUAUUAUUUAAAUAAAACAGGCCAGGCGCAGGGAGGCAUUCCUGAGUCUGAGACAGGAGGAACUCAAGUUCCAGCCAGCCAGGGCAAGUAAUAAAAAGUACUGGGGAAGAACUUGGUGGCAGAGGGCCCUUGGGUUCGGUCUCCAGUACUGCGGGGAAAGAGGGUGAAGAAAAAGGUUUUCAUCUACGUGAACAUGAUGGUUCACGGGAAAUUUUGUAAAAAGUCAGAAAAGAAAAAAAUCCUGCAGAGUUAUGUGUAGCUCCAGUCGUCAAGGUUGCAAGUGCUUUGAAGUCCAGCGCGCAUAUGCAUGAGCGUGAGCCCUUAGGAGGGAGGCUGUCGGAGAAGCAAGGGGAAGGGCCAAUGACUGUCACUCCGCCUCCGCCUGGACAGAGUCCCAGGACAGCACCGUCAGAUGCAGGACGGCCUGGACAGAGUCGGACGGGUAUGUGCAGACCCCAUAAUUACCAGUAACAGCCACGUAGUGUUACAAGAACAUGUGCCCUCACUGACCCCCUCGGAUGGAAACCCGGGAUGGAGCCCCCUAGUGGCGGGCGUGAGAAGUGCACAAACAUCUCUGCAUGGAUUGCUUGUCCUACUUGGACAGAUGCAUUUUUUCCGAGGUUUGUCGCUGGGCAUUUUGCAUGGCAUACGUAACACAGCUCCUAGUAGCUGGUGACCCUGUCCAGCUCCUUUCUUGAGCUACGCCUUGGCACACAGCAUGACAGCCCCGAAUUCGGGAUCUUGGGCCUCCUAGCAUCUUUGGAAUCCAAAUCUGCAUUGUGCUGGACGUGGUGGCACAGCUCAGCACUCCGGGAGGCUGAGGCAGGAUUGCGACUCUGAAAAAAGGGUUGGGAAUGUGUUUGUUUUAAGGUCCUGGGUUCAAUCCCUAACAAACACACAGGCAGAACUUGUUUUAGGAAUUCUGAAAUAGAAGACAAGAAGGAGAAAUCAGAAGGAAGAGGAAAAAGAAGAAUAGAGAGAAGGAACCCCACAAAUUAAAAUUCGCAAUUCAAUCUGAUAUACAGUCCACAAUAACCAGGCAUGUGUACGAGCAAGACAAUCUCAAGAGAAAAACAGAGUAAAAUAAUCAAGUAACCCGGAAGUGACACAGAUGUUACAAUUAUCAGACAAAGAAACUCAAAAUAGUACUACACCCAUAUUUCAUAUACUGACAAGGUCAAGUAGGCCUAUGGAAGGUAGGGCAAAGACGGAAGGGAAACUUGUAGUUUGUUGUUUGUUUUGUGACAGGGUCUCACUACGUAGUUGAGACUGACCUGGAACUCAUUAUGUAGCUCAGGCUGGUCUUGAACUCACAGUGAUCCUCCUGCCUCAGCCUCCUGAGUGCUGGCAUUACAGGCAUGCGCCACCACACCUGGCUGGGAAAUUUAUAGUUUGGAUGGGAUUCAUGGCAGGAUAGGAAUUACAAGAGAAAAGAUUAGUGAACCACAUGGAACACGAGGAAUUGUCCAUUUUUGGUGUGUGAUUACAUGACUUUAUCAACACACAUGAGACUGUAUAACAGAAAGAGCACAUUUUACUACACGUCAGAUAUACCUUGCUAAAGCUCACAGGAAGAAACUACUUUGGAAUUAGUAUAUAUAUAUUUUUUGCUUUGUUUUGGUUUUUCUUUUUUUUUUUUGGUACAGGGGAUCCAACUUGGGACCUUUCACCUGCAAGGCAGGUGGCAGAACCACUGAGCUACAUCCCCAGCCCCAUUUGCAAUAUGAUGUCUACAGUUUACUUCAAAAUAACACAUGGGCCGGGUGUGGUGGCACACGCCUGUAAUCCCAGCACUUGGGAGGCUGAGGCAGGAGGAUCACUGUGAGUUCGAGACCAACCUGGGCUACAUAGUGAGUUCCAGGUCAGUCUCAACUACAUAGUGAGGUCCUGUCUCAAAAAAUAAAAAAAAACAAAAACGGGGUCAGGGAUUUAGCUCAGUGGUUCCACUGCCUGCCUUGCAAGUGCAAGGACCCAAGUUCGUGGGUACCAAAAAAAAAAAAUCAAAAUAAGACAUGGAAAUGGGUCCGGAUAUAAUGAAACAAAAUUAGUCAUGAGUUAAUUGUUGUUUCUUUCUCUUUUUUCUGAGACAGGGUCUCACUGUGUAGUGCAGGCUGCCCUUGAACUCGUGCUGACCCUCUUGCAUGAGCCUCCUGAGAGGUGGGAUUUCAGGCACAAGGCACCAUGUCUGGCUUGCAUAUGUAUUUUUUAAAUAGAUAAAUGAAGGACUGCUCCUUUUCAGUUUUCAACUCCAGCAUUAGACCUUAGAAAGUACUUGUCCAAAGUCAGAAGCCAACUGUAUUUGUUAGCUUUCAAUUGCUGUGAGAAAAUAUUUAAGGAGAACAAUGUAAGAGGAAGGAAUUCUUUGGGCUUAUUGUUUCUGGGGUUUCAGUUUACAGCUAGCCAGCUUUCAGGCCUGUGGCAAGGUGGAAACAUCAUGGUGAACGAAGCUGGGUGUGAUGGUGCAUACCUGUAAUUCUAGUACUUGGGAGGCUGAGGCAGGAGGGUCAUAUUGAGUUCGAAGCCAGUUUAACCUACAUAGUGAGUUCAAGGCCAGCCUAAACUGCAUAGCAAGGUCCUGUCUCAAAAAACCAAACCGAACAAAAACAAAAACAAACAAAAAACCCUUCAAAAUGCCAUGGUGGGAGGCAUGGUGGAGGAAAUCUGCUCAGUUCAUGGCAGUAGAAAGCAGAGGGAAAGGAAGGGAUGGGACAAGACACACACUUCCCAGGCACAGUCCCAGGGACUUGUGUCCUCAGCGAGGGCCGCUCCUAACAGCCUGGUCAGCUGUGAAUCCACUUGAGGAAGUCGGAGCCCCUCAUCCAAUCACUUCCCCCAAGCCCAAGCCUUCAGGACAGUGAGCCCUUGGGAACCCUUUGGACCCACAGCAUAACACUGACCUGCAUGCAUUCGAGCAUCCCCACCCCAGGGUCUGACACCUCAACAAAAUAAACAGCUUUGGAAUCUGACCGCCCCAUCACACCUGUGAGCUUGGGACCUCUGGCCUCCUCAUUAUGAGAGUUUACUUCUAAGAGUCAGAGAGGAGAGUCUAAUUCACAGGCAGUCAUUAAUUAGCUCUUGGGUAGAUCACAACCUGUUCAGGCCUCAACUAAGAAUUACAGAGAUGGGGUUUUGGCUCAGUGGUUCUGCCACCUGCUUCACAAGUGCAAGGUCCCGAGUUCGAUCCCCAGUACUGGAAAAAAAUAAAAAGGAAUUACAGUUGGGCUGAGCCCAGUGGCACACACCUGUAGUCCCAGUACCAGGGAUACUGAAGGAAGAGGAUCACUGUGAGUUCAAGGCCAGCUUGGACUACAUAGUGUGCCCCCCAUGUCCCUGUGGCGUUUGACACUUGAAAGGAAACUUCUUCCUAUACAAUUAAGGCAUUGAUUGAUACAAUCUAUGUAACAUUUGUUACUUUUCAAGGACUCUGCUUGUUAAACUUGUUUUUUGACCCUGCGAUGGGAGAAACUUGAAGAGAUAGCUAAAGAUCUGACGUUAUCUGUAGGAGUCAGGUGCUUCCUGUUGAUAUGCCUUUAAAAAGAGCUGUUCCGGUGAAAUAAAUCAGACUUCUCUUGGUCUCCGCUCAGUCUUGAGUGUUCUUUCCUUUCUUAAUCCUCACUCCCCAACUCAGGCAUGUUCGUGUUGUGACAGCUGGGCGGCCACAACAUAGCAAGACCCUAUCUCAAACAAAACAAAACUAUAGGGCAGGGGAUAUAGCUCAGUGGUUCUGCCACCUGCCUUGCAAGCAAAAGGUCCUGAGUUCAAAAGCCCAGUAGAAAAAAAAUUACAAAAGUUUUCUGUGUGUUUCUUUGCAUUUUCCCCUUUCAGAGUGCUGGUGGCAUCUAGGACCCCAUAACCGUGAGCCUUGAAGUGGAGGCCGCUUUAAAGUUCAUCCCAGUCCUUCAGCACUUAGUGUCUGCAUGCGCCCCACGCUCCGGGGAUCCAGAGAUAACAUGGGCUGGGUUCCCUGUGGUCUUGGGGGGACUGUUCACCUGUGGAAGGCAACAUGAACAGCUGGGGAGCCAACCAUUUCCUAGCUGGGGAUUUGCAGAGUGGUGUUCUGGUUUUGCUGUGUCCUUGGGGGAAGACUCUUGGACAGUAUCUCAGAGUGCUCCUUCUUUGGAACUCGUGAUUUGAGGUUAGGUCACCCUAGCGUGUUCCUCCCCCUAACCCUUUUUGAUAUCGAGGAUCAAACCCAGAGCUUUUGUGCUGAGUUAUAUCUUCACCUUUCUUUCUUUUCUUUUUCUUUUUUUUUUUUUUUGUUACAAGUUCUCACUAAGUUGCCCAGCUGGGCUGGACCUUGUGAUCCUCCUGCCUCAGCCUCCCAGUCCUGGGAUUCCAAGUGUGCACGACCACAUCUGGUUUACAGAGGAACCACAGGAGGUUCCACAUGCAACAGCAGGUCAGACGGGA